GACGAACGCUGGCGGCGUGCUUAACACAUGCAAGUCGAACGGAAAGGCCCUGCUUUUGUGGGGUGCUCGAGUGGCGAACGGGUGAGUAACACGUGAGUAACCUGCCCUUGACUUUGGGAUAACUUCAGGAAACUGGGGCUAAUACCGGAUAGGAGCUCCUGCUGCAUGGUGGGGGUUGGAAAGUUUCGGCGGUUGGGGAUGGACUCGCGGCUUAUCAGCUUGUUGGUGGGGUAGUGGCUUACCAAGGCUUUGACGGGUAGCCGGCCUGAGAGGGUUACCGGGCACAUUGGGACUGAGAUACGGCCCAGACUCCUACGGGAGGCAGCAGUGGGGAAUAUUGCACAAUGGGCGGAAGCCUGAUGCAGCAACGCCGGGUGCGGGAUGACGGCCUUCGGGUGGUAAACCGCUGUCGACUGUGACGAAGCGUGAGUGACGGUAAUGGGUAAAGAAGCACCGGCUAACUACGUG
This 468-nucleotide ribosomal RNA is filed under the name uncultured bacterium. RNAcentral's name for it is "partial 16S ribosomal RNA". It matches the Rfam family "Bacterial small subunit ribosomal RNA", at positions 28 to 507 of the family's 1533-position model. The record is from RNAcentral.